This 424-nucleotide ribosomal RNA is filed under the name uncultured bacterium. Its description in RNAcentral is "bacterial SSU rRNA". It matches the Rfam family "Bacterial small subunit ribosomal RNA", at positions 359 to 775 of the family's 1533-position model. The record is from RNAcentral.
GAAUCUUCGGCAAUGGACGAAAGUCUGACCGAGCAACGCCGCGUGAGUGAAGAAGGUUUUCGGAUCGUAAAACUCUGUUGUUAGAGAAGAACGUUGUGUAGAGUGGAAAAUUACACAAGUGACGGUAUCUAACCAGAAAGGGACGGCUAACUACGUGCCAGCAGCCGCGGUAAUACGUAGGUCCCGAGCGUUGUCCGGAUUUAUUGGGCGUAAAGCGAGCGCAGGUGGUUUAAUAAGUCUGAUGUAAAAGGCAGUGGCUCAACCAUUGUGUGCAUUGGAAACUGUUAGACUUGAGUGCAGUAGAGGAGAGUGGAAUUCCAUGUGUAGCGGUGAAAUGCGUAGAUAUAUGGAGGAACACCGGUGGCGAAAGCGGCUCUCUGGACUGUAACUGACACUGAGGCUCGAAAGCGUGGGUAGCAAACAG